This is a long non-coding RNA of Quercus lobata, 3430 nucleotides long. RefSeq lists it as uncharacterized. The transcript has 5 exons. The record is from RefSeq and is a predicted model, not a curated record. Lineage: Eukaryota; Viridiplantae; Streptophyta; Magnoliopsida; Fagales; Fagaceae.
UUGCAAUUUAUUUCUCUCUAUUAAAUAUUUACACUCCCCUUUCUCAAACCCAUACUCUCGUCCCCUCUUUACAAUCAGUUCUCUCUCCACAACCACAACCCACACCACCAUCGGUCCUCCUCUCCCACAACUCUGAAAGUCUUCUCUACUCUUCUGCUUCCCCCAAAACCAAAAUCUCUGAAAAUUUUUCUAAAAACUAAAACUAAAACCUGUAACAUGCGACUCGGACUGAGACUCAGGGUUGCUAGGAACACAACCCAGCAGAUUGGUAGUAGAUUGAGUUUGAGAAGAAACUAUGGGGUCAAAGAUAAUAAAUUUGAGGUGGAUGCCUAGGCUCUUAUGCUCAAGGGUGUGAAGGAAGCUUACUUAUGUUAUCAAGGUGGUGACAGCCUUCUAAUCAGCUCCCACCAAGCUUGACGUUCCCAUCUAAAAAAAAAAAAACCAAUUAGGCCAAAAAAAUUACUUUUAUCCUCACCUUCACACAAGUUAACUUUUAAAAACCCACACGGUUGAAGAUAAAGAACAGAGUCCUGCCUUCACUAGCCUGCCACCACCGGUCAGUCAGCAAAACCACUACUGGUAAAACUAAUUUCUUGCGUUUUCCCCUUUCAGUUGUAAUACUUGGGAUUUUCUUUCUUAAUCUUCUUCUCUUCUGAGUGAGAGUUUGUUUGUGUAAUUUGGGUGGCUCAAUUUCUUUUUCCUUCCCCUCGAUGUUCACACUGUCACGUUACCGUAUUGUGCUUUUUCCUGAGACUUCGUAAGGGUGUGGAGAGAGUUUAGAAGGCUGUCACCACCGGUCUACUGUCACCGUCAGAUGGCUAGAACCGCUGCAGGUAAAGAUAAAUUCUGAUGAUGGGUUUCAUUGGUAAUAAAAAGAGAUAUUUGGAUGACUAGUCUAAAGUUUGAAGAUUUCAAGAAUUGCAAGAUGACAACAUGUACAUUUUGUGGGUAAAGGUUGCUGGCCAAAUCUGGUGUGGCAUGGGGUUACAUUCAUGAGGUAUCAUGGUGACAUUCCAUCUUUGUUUGUAUGAUCAUCUCUAAUAAGCUUGGCUAUAUACCAUUGUAACUUGUCAUGUUGUAGAACUUUUAGAGGUCAACAUGAAUGAUUACCGUUAGGUUCUGAAUCUGUUGAUGAAAGUUUAAUUUGAGUGUUUUCAAUUUGUCAAUAGAAUGUUCAGAUUUCUAACCAAAGGUUGGUAAAACUUUCAAAGACAUGGAAGGGAUAUAGUUUACUGCUUAUGCAGUCUUAUGUUGUAAAAUCACCAUAACCAUGAAUCACUUGGAAGUUUUGAGGAAUUUUCUGGUGGGAUCUUUUGAUUUUUGGGAAGCUCUGCCUCACUUGUCUGUACUUUUUUUUGUCCCCCCACCCUCCCUUCUUUUUAAGAAAGAUUGGCAGGAUUUUUAUGUUAUGCUUAAGGCAAGCUUAAAUACUAUUUUUAUUUGUAAUAUCACUAUGAGAUUUUUUUGUUCCAUAAUGCAUGAGGCGAACUGUAGGUAGGAAAGGUUUGGUAGUUAUUGGAGGAAAAUCCCUAUAACUUGGAAACUAAAUAGAGCUCUCUUAUCAAUUUGAUUGAUUAUCAAGUUGGCUUUUCAUUUCACUAUAUCUGCUCUGCCGCAGAUGUGUAUUUUUUCUUUUUAAAAAGGCUUUGAUUGCAUUGUUUUUUCUUUGACAUUUUGGCCAUUUGAGUGACUUGAUGUGCUUGUAGCCUAAUGGUAUUCAAAAAUUAUGAAAUGGACAUGUGUCACGAAAGAUAGCCUCUUCAUGGUGAAAUUUAUGCAAAUUGAUAUGAAGACGAAGCCACUUAUCAAAAAAACAUAUAUGAUGACAAAGCUAAGGCCCUUUAUUCACACAUUUUUAAAAGAAGAAAGUGAAAUGUUUGAGAUGUACAUUUAUACAAUGAGUGAUCACCUAUCGGCACUAUGCAAUGUAAAUGGCUAAGCUACUUGAUCCUUCACUAUGAGAUUUUUUUGUUCCAUAAUGCAUGAGGCGAACUGUAGGUAGGAAAGGUUUGGUAGUUAUUGGGGGAAAAUCCCUAUAACUUGGAAACUAAAUAGAGGCUCUCUUAUCAAUUUGAUUGAUUAUCAAGUUGGCUUUUAAUUUCACUAUAUCUGCUCUGCCGCAGAUGUGUAUUUAUUCUUUUUAAAAAGGCUUUGAUUGCAUUGUUUUUUCUUUGACAUUUUGGCCAUUUGAGUGACUUGAUGUGCUUGUAGCCUAAUGGUAUUCAAAAAUUAUGAAAUGGACAUGUGUCACGAAAGGUAGCCUCUUCAUGGUCAAAUUUACGCAAAUUGAUAUGAAGACGAAGCUACCUAUCAAAAAAACAUAUAUGAUGACGAAGCUAAGGCCCUUUAUUCACACAUUUUUAAAAGAAGAAAGUGAAAUGUUUGAGAUGUACAUUUAUACAAUGAGUGGUCGCCUAUCGGCACUAUGCAAUGUAAAUGGCUAAGCUACUUGAUCCUCUAGGAGAGUACUUAAGUGCUAAAGUGAUUUCACGUAAGCAUGGCACCCAAGAACAUCAAAAGGGUCUUGAUAUCUUGCUUGGCCAAGAUAGUGCUAUAUUGAUUCUUGAUGAUGCAGAAGAUGUAGGUACAUUUGUGUUCAGCUGAAUAUCUAUGCUUAACCAAUUUAUUUUCACUUUAAUUAAUAUGAUAAUAUUUGUUACACAAUACUUUUGAUCUUACUGUUUUACCCACUAAAAGAAGAGGAAGUUCUUUCAACAUUAUGAGUCCUUUUAUUUGUAGGGAAGAGAGUCAGAUUACGAAAAUGGGCCAUUUCAUCAUUAUUUGAAGUAUGUUGUAGUUUCAUUCUCAAAGGUUCUUGCUACAUCAUAUUAAACUAGACCUGUUUGUGUUUUGAAAUUAACUUGAACUCUUAUAAAAAAAGACAUGGUUUUGUAUCUACUCUAUGUGAAACACCAUAAAGAAGUAAACUUUAACUUUUCAGUUUUAAAUUAUAAGCUUUUUUUAUUCACUUUGGUUUCUCUUUAGUCAAACUAAGAAGGGUGAAGGAAAAUUAAAAAACAAAAAACAAAAACUUGCUUAUGGAUUUUAUGAGAUGCAUACAUGUUGAUUGUGACUUUUAUACUGUAGAAUGAUGAAUAGAAUUGAGAAGUAAAUAUGACAUUGUUUAGGAGCCACUUGAAAUAGUGAAGAAGCCUAAAGGUUGCUUCUAAUGUUGCUGUACUUGGAUUAUUCAAAAGUUAUGUAGACAUGUUUAUGCAUUAAUAUGUGAUGUAUCUUUUUGGCAAAUUUUACAUAUAUGAUGUUCUUUGGUAAACAAUUUUUUUUUUUUUGGUUCUGUGUAUAUGUGUAAUUUUUGUUAUCUUAAUUUUUAUUUAUCAAAAACACAUCAUUUAUCCUAAUACUUGAAUGUCUAGAUGAAGGAUUUGCACUUGAUCCAUUGAGACCAAAUUCGAUCAUGCAAGUGAUUCUG